Amblyraja radiata (thorny skate) is the source of this 297-nucleotide long non-coding RNA. RefSeq lists it as uncharacterized. NCBI's taxonomy places the organism in Eukaryota, Metazoa, Chordata, Chondrichthyes, Rajiformes, Rajidae. The record is from RefSeq and is a predicted model, not a curated record. The transcript has 3 exons.
CACUGAUCUGUUCUGUAUUCAUGCCUUCUAUAUUCUGUUGUGCUGAAGCAAAGUAAGAAUUUCAUUGUCCUAUCUGGGACACAUGACAAUACACUCUCUUGAAUCUAAUAAGGGCGCAGGGUAGAGACGGGGAAUCUCUCAUGUCUGAUGUGGAUCUACAUCUCCGGGGCAUGAGGGUUUCAAUGUCCAUGGUAAAGGGUACGGUAUCAGGGGCAGUGUCGGGGAGAACACUUCAUGUGACAUGGAUCUUCAAGGACUGGACCUGUGUUGUUGGAAGUGUCUGCUGGGGUUAGACUG